This 709-nucleotide ribosomal RNA is filed under the name Bacillus aerius. Its description in RNAcentral is "bacterial SSU rRNA". It matches the Rfam family "Bacterial small subunit ribosomal RNA", at positions 96 to 786 of the family's 1533-position model. Lineage: Bacteria; Bacillati; Bacillota; Bacilli; Caryophanales; Bacillaceae. The record is from RNAcentral.
CGGCGGACGGGUGAGUAACACGUGGGUAACCUGCCUGUAAGACUGGGAUAACUCCGGGAAACCGGAGCUAAUACCGGAUAGUUCCUUGAACCGCAUGGUUCAAGGAUGAAAGACGGUUUCGGCUGUCACUUACAGAUGGACCCGCGGCGCAUUAGCUAGUUGGUGAGGUAACGGCUCACCAAGGCGACGAUGCGUAGCCGACCUGAGAGGGUGAUCGGCCACACUGGGACUGAGACACGGCCCAGACUCCUACGGGAGGCAGCAGUAGGGAAUCUUCCGCAAUGGACGAAAGUCUGACGGAGCAACGCCGCGUGAGUGAUGAAGGUUUUCGGAUCGUAAAGCUCUGUUGUUAGGGAAGAACAAGUGCAAGAGUAACUGCUUGCACCUUGACGGUACCUAACCAGAAAGCCACGGCUAACUACGUGCCAGCAGCCGCGGUAAUACGUAGGUGGCAAGCGUUGUCCGGAAUUAUUGGGCGUAAAGGGCUCGCAGGCGGUUUCUUAAGUCUGAUGUGAAAGCCCCCGGCUCAACCGGGGAGGGUCAUUGGAAACUGGGAAACUUGAGUGCAGAAGAGGAGAGUGGAAUUCCACGUGUAGCGGUGAAAUGCGUAGAGAUGUGGAGGAACACCAGGUGGCGAAGGCGACUCUCUGGUCUGUAACUGACGCUGGAGGGAGCGAAAGCGGUGGGGGAGCGAACAGGAUUAGAUACC